RNAcentral lists this ribosomal RNA (460 nucleotides) under uncultured bacterium. RNAcentral's name for it is "partial 16S ribosomal RNA". It matches the Rfam family "Bacterial small subunit ribosomal RNA", at positions 338 to 795 of the family's 1533-position model. The record is from RNAcentral.
CCUACGGGAGGCAGCAGUGAGGAAUAUUGGUCAAUGGGCUUACGCCUGAACCAGCCAAGUCGCGUGAGGGAAGACUGCCCUAUGGGUUGUAAACCUCUUUUGUCAGGGAGCAAUUGGCGCUACGUGUAGCGUUAUCGAGAGUACCUGCAGAAAAAGCAUCGGCUAACUCCGUGCCAGCGGCCGCGGUAAUAGGGAGGAUGCGAGCUUUAUCCGGAUUUAUUGGGUUUAAAGGGUGCGUAGGCGGAAUGCCAAGUCAGCGGUAAAAUCGCGGGGCUAAACCUCGCUCUGCCGUUGAAACUGGCGUUCUUGAGUGGGCGAGAAGUAGGUGGAAUGCGUGGUGUAGCGGUGAAAUGCAUAGAUAUCACGCAGAACUCUGAUUGCGAAGGCAGCAUACCGGAGCCCAACUGACGCUGAAGCACGAAAGCGUGGGUAUCGAACAGGAUUAGAUACCCCAGUAGUC